Molecule: transfer RNA, 74 nt
Filed under: Puniceicoccales bacterium
Lineage: Bacteria; Pseudomonadati; Verrucomicrobiota; Opitutia; Puniceicoccales
Description: tRNA-Gly
Rfam family: tRNA
About the family: Transfer RNA (tRNA) molecules are approximately 80 nucleotides in length. Their secondary structure includes four short double-helical elements and three loops (D, anti-codon, and T loops).
Source: RNAcentral
GCGGGCAUAGUUUAGAGGUAAAACCUUAGCCUUCCAAGCUAGUGUCGUCGGUUCGAUUCCGACUGCCCGCACCA